RNAcentral lists this ribosomal RNA (1295 nucleotides) under Mesopodagrion tibetanum. RNAcentral describes it as "16S ribosomal RNA". The stretch from base 603 to 1295 matches the Rfam family "Archaeal large subunit ribosomal RNA", at positions 1424 to 2900 of the family's 2987-position model. Lineage: Eukaryota; Metazoa; Arthropoda; Insecta; Odonata; Megapodagrionidae. The record is from RNAcentral.
UUUAAUUGUUAUCUUACUUUAAUUAUUUUAAUUUUACUUUGAAGAAAUUCCUAUAUUUUUAGUAUUUAAUAAAACAAAUUUUUCGUUAGUAAUAGUUAAUUUGUACCGUGAGGGAGUGUUGAAAUAAUAUGAAAUUAUUUAUUUUGUAAAAGUAUAUUUUAUUUAUAUUACCUUUUGUAUCAGGGUUAAUUAAUUUAAUUAAAUUUAUUUUUAUUUCUCGAUUUUAAAAGAGCUAGUAAUUUAUAUUAGUUAGUGUAACAUAAUUAUUAAUAAUAUUUACUUGAAGAGAUAUUCUAUUCGUUUUUAAGGGUAUCUAGUUUUUUAAGAAAUAAAUUAAAUUUAUUAUUCAAUUUUAUAUAUUUAUUUCUUUAAAUAUUUAUGUUUUGAAUUUAACUAUAGUAGGGGAUAAUCUUUACUUUUAUUUAAAACCUAUUUUUAUAAAAUUUUUGUAGGGUUAUAAUCAUCCGUCAAAUGUAUUACGUUAUAGUAAAUAUUUAUAUUUUAUGAUUUUCUUAGGUUUAAAUUAUUUAUUAAAAUAUUUUAAUUAAUAUUAAAUUAUAAGUAAUUAUGAUUAAAUUAGUAUAUAAUUUUGUUUUAUAAUUAUUUUAUUUUAUUUUAAAAUAAGGAAUUCGGCAAAUAUAAUGUUCGCCUGUUUAUCAAAAACAUGUCUUCUCGUUUAUUUGGGAAGUCUGACCUGCCCAGUGAAAAUUAUUUUAACGGCCGCGGUAUUUUGACCGUGCAAAGGUAGCAUAAUCAUUAGUCUUUUAAUAGGAGGCUGGAAUGAAAGGUUUGACGAAACAUUAACUGUCUCAUUUUGAUAUAUUAAAAUUUAAUUUUUAAGUGAAAAAGCUUAAAUUUUAUUGGAAGACGAGAAGACCCUAUAGAGCUUUAUAAUUUACUUGAUUAAUAUUUUUAGUCUAUUAUUUAAUAUUAUUUUAAAAAUUAUUUUGUUGGGGUGACAAGAAAUAUAAAUUUAACUUUUCUUAUUUAUAAAACAUUUAUUUAUGAUUAUUAGAUCCAUUAUUAGUGAUUAUUAGAUUAAGUUACCUUAGGGAUAACAGCGUAAUCUUCUUUCAGAGUUCAAAUUUACAAGAAGGCUUGCGACCUCGAUGUUGGAUUAAGAUAAUAAAUAGGUGUAGUAGCUUAUUUUAUAGGUCUGUUCGACCUUUAAAUUCUUACAUGAUCUGAGUUCAGACCGGUUUAAGCCAGGUCGGUUUCUAUCUCCAAUUUUCUAACAAUUUUUAGUACGAAAGGACCAUUUUUGUAAAAUAAUUUUUAUGCAUUGAUUUAUAUUA